CUGCCCUACACCAAUGCUGUGAUUCAUGAAAUGCAGCGCUUUAAAUACAUCACUUUUUUGGGGUUCCCUAGGCAAUGUACAAAGGAUUUCAAGCUGCGUGGUUUUCUCAUUCCCAAGGUAUAACAGUGUGAUAUAGCUGCACUCCUGUAGCCCAAGAGCAAAGAGCAGCAGAAGGCUUCAUAUUGAGAGAUGCUGCCAGGCAUACAGGAACUUCCCGUCUAGUCAAAAAUCUGAAGGGCAAGAGCAGGAGCUCCAUCUGCAGACAUGUUUCACCAUUGGCAAGUGCCAUUCCAUGGGGCAAUUGUGGCAGGGGAGGAGCCUGAAGUAUCCAGAGGUCUCACCUGGGUUGUGAGCUUUCAUUUUAAAAGAGGUGGCAGAAAGCCCUCUUGUGUUCCUGCCUGUAUAGAAAUUUUGUUAAGGUGAAGAAUACAAAACCAACCCCCCCCCCAAAAUAAAUAAAUAAAUCACACAGGUCUCUGCAAUGAUUAGUCUUGGGAUAGUGUGGGACAAUCCAGAAAUGUGUUGAUCUGAAUGCAUUCCAAAUCACUUCUUUCAAAUCACUUGCAGGGGACUGUUAUUGUUCCUGAUCUACGCUCUUUUCUUCUUGAUCCCACAUGAUGGGAGACACCUGCAGAGUUCAACCCAAAUCAUUUCUUGGACAAGGAUGGACAAUUUGUGAACAGAGAAGUAUUUCUGCCAUUUGGUGCAGGGGCUCGCAUUUGUUUGGGAAUGCAGCUGGUAAAGAUCGAAAUCUUCAACUUCCUGACCAGCCUGCUGAGGGCAUUCAGUUUUCAGCUGCCAGAAGGAGUCAAAGAACUCAAUCAAGAGGCUAUAAUAGGGGUUACAACACAUCCCCAUCCUUAUAAACUCUGUGCAGUUCCCCGCUGCAACACAUAAGAAGAUAGGAAAAUAUUAGGGGCUGCACCCCUGCUUCCUGCACUCGGUGACCCCUUGGCCACUUCUGACACAUGAACCCCCUAGCAUUUCCCCUUCCCUUCCCAUCUCAUCCCAUGCAACUAUUGAGGUCUCUUUUCACCUUUGCAGCUCCAUUUCUGAAGCCACUUCUCUCUUAUCUUCUGCAGCUCUGCUUUGCAUCCAUUUCCCCCUUCACCCCAUCUCCUCCAUUUCUUCAGGUCCUUUCAUUCCCCUGCUUUCAUCUUCAUCCCUCUCCCAAUGCCUCCUUACUCCCUCCUUUUUGACAACUUCCUUUGCAUCCCCAUUCUUACUCUUGCUCCCUUUUCUCCUCCCCUCCCCCUUACUUUUAUCAAAUCUUCCUAACACACACAUUCCCACACCUCCUCCUCUCUCCCUCUUCUCCUGCCUCCUUACAACACCACUCCCCAUGCUGAGAAAUGUUAUUGUAUCUUUAAGAUGAGUAGACUCCUAAGAGCAAGACUGUCAGCUUCUCCAGUUGAAGAAGACUAAGUUUCUUUGAUGGAUACUGUACAUGUGUGCUUGUUAAUAAAAUAUCUCUUCUA
This 1478-nucleotide long non-coding RNA is filed under the name Podarcis muralis (Common wall lizard). RNAcentral's name for it is "lncRNA (ENSPMRG00000019075.1)". The record is from RNAcentral. Lineage: Eukaryota; Metazoa; Chordata; Lepidosauria; Squamata; Lacertidae.